CAGCAGCCGCGGGAAUACGUAGGUGGCAAGCGUUGUCCGGAAUUAUUGGGCGUAAAGGGCUCGCAGGCGGUUUCUUAAGUCUGAUGUGAAAGCCCCCGGCUCAACCGGGGAAGGUCAUUGGAAGCUGGGAAACUUGAGUGCAGAAGAGGAGAGUGGAAUUCCACGUGUAGCGGUGAAAUGCGUAGAGAUGUGGAGGAACACCAGUGGCGAAGGCGACUCUCUGGUCUGUAACUGACGCUGAGGAGCGAAAGCGUGGGGAGCGAACAGGAUUAGAUACCCCCGUAGUCCCUGUCUCUUAUAC
This 301-nucleotide ribosomal RNA is filed under the name uncultured bacterium. RNAcentral's name for it is "partial 16S ribosomal RNA". It matches the Rfam family "Bacterial small subunit ribosomal RNA", at positions 509 to 807 of the family's 1533-position model. The record is from RNAcentral.